Trichomycterus rosablanca is the source of this 1609-nucleotide long non-coding RNA. RefSeq lists it as uncharacterized. Lineage: Eukaryota; Metazoa; Chordata; Actinopteri; Siluriformes; Trichomycteridae. The transcript has 2 exons. The record is from RefSeq and is a predicted model, not a curated record.
AUGAAAAAUUUCAAUCAGGAUUUAGACCCAACCAUAGUACCGAAACCGCAUUAAUUAGAGUAGUUAACGAGUUGUUAAUGUCUUCUGAUAAUGGAUGUGUCUCUUUUCUUGUUCUAUUAGAUCUUAGUGCAGCGUUUGAUACGGUCGAUCAUAACAUUUUACUGGAGAGGCUAGAAAAUACAGGCAUUCUGAUGGAAACCUGUUUACCCGCCGAGGUUAAGGAUUAAAGUCGAGACUGCCGGGACAACGAUGCUGCUCCUGUCAGAUGUGACGGGUCUGGAGUAAUUGCAACGACAAGAAAUCACUACAGACUUUAUUGAAGACUAGAGCGGAUAACAACUCUAUUAUUAUUUAAUUGUUUAUUUAUCUAUUUAUUACCACUGUAUGACUUUUAGAUCAUUCAAUUCUGUGUUUGUAUGAUUUGUGUAAAUCGUGUAUUUAUUUAAAGUAUCCUCCAGACCACCCAAGAAGGAUGGGCCCUGUUGAGUCUGGUUCCUCUCAAGGUUUCUUCCUGUAAUUUUCAGGGAGUUUUUCCUUGCCACAGUCGCCCUCGGCUUGCUCAACAGGGGUUUUUGUAUCUGUUGGUCCUGGAUUUUGUAAAGUUGCUUUGAGACAAUGUAUAUUGUAAAAAGCGCUAUAUAAAUAAAGUUGACUUGACUUGACUUGACUAGAUGACCUCACCAUCUGCUGUAAUAUUUUGACAUUUUGUUAGGGUGCCUGCGACGGCUGGUGAAAAUACCAUCAGCUCCCAGCGUCGCAGGCGUUACAGAACAACAAAGAGCUUGGCCUCAAAUAGCAGGCCAGCUCGUUAGGGGCGAACGACCUGCACCUGCGAUCUCCCUAUUUAAGGGGGCGUCGCCAGGUUGCAGGCGACGCACCUUUAUCUUUUGUUUCCACUCAAUGACUGCACAAGUCGCUUCUUUUAUAGGGACAGUUUCGGUUCCCCGGGCGCUAAAUAGGGCGGUCGGGUGUGUAAGUCGUAAGACUGAGGUAUUGUAGGGUUUUGGUUCUAUUUUUAGGGAAAGAUUGGUGCGACUUCGUGCAGCCCUCGCGCUGCCGUUUGUUUACGGCGUUUUGCAUUAAAGCCCCUUCUGUGCGGUUAGCGGUCAGGUGGGUUCAACACUGCCGGGUUGGCCGUGUGGACUAAGCCAUAGCGUCAUCCACUUUUACAGUCCCGGUUCGAAUCCACGCUACAGUUAGCGUCCUCCCUUUUCUUCUAACUUCCGAUCGGUUUCUUCCCAGCGGCAUUAACUUACCGCUGGUGACAAAACCGGUUCGGCUGUAGUCCCAGUUCCUGAUUAAUUUCACUUUAGCGAUCCCGGAGGAUUAUCCCGGGAUCUGUCGCCCUCAGCGCUUCUUUUAAGCACGAGGGCUCCUUUGUUUACUCGCUGUGAAAUAGCGCAGCGAGCAGCGCGAACGCCUCUCAUUCAGGCGAUCCAGGUUCGCGCCUCGCGCUUUUGCUUUCGUUUUCCAUUAUUCUUUUUUCUCUUUUUCAGUUGCCUGCGACGCCAGCGGCUUCACUCGGGAAUUCUGCCCGAGUUGUUUUCUGUGCCUGUUUUUGUGUUUUGAUUAUUAUUUAUUGUUAAAUAAAAGAACACCUUUCUCCGCA